RNA transcript from Syngnathus typhle (broad-nosed pipefish), 7933 nucleotides. RefSeq lists it as uncharacterized. The transcript is spliced from 3 exons. The record is from RefSeq and is a predicted model, not a curated record. Lineage: Eukaryota; Metazoa; Chordata; Actinopteri; Syngnathiformes; Syngnathidae.
CCACAGCACCGUCGAUGGUCAGCGGCAGGUGCUGGGUGUGACCCUUCCGGAAGUCAACAACAAUCUCCUUGGUCUUGUCGACGUUCAGCAGGAGAUUGUUGUCCCUGCACCACGUCAACCAAGUCUCAGUGAACACGAGCACACAGCAGUCACGCACUGUCCGGUUUGUAGAUCUCAGCAUGCGAUUGUAAUCCAUUUUGUUGUCCAGCGAUCGAACGUUCGCCAGAAGAAUGGAAGGCACGGCGAGCUGGGUUGGCCGCCAGCCUGGCCCGGACGCACCCACGCUUGCCCCUCUUCAGCGUCCUCGCACACCGCUUUCGACGCUUCCCAACCGGGGGAGGAAUAGCAGACGAGUCCGGCGACGCUUCAGGACGUAGCAGUCCGAGCUCCUUUAAUGUCCCCGCAUCAAAGUCCAGAACUCGACAAAACUCGCUUUCGCCAAUGUCGAGCAGAACCUGCCUGCCGUACUUGUAGCACGACUCAGUACGACGAGACGAACACAUAAAACUGCCGGACAAACACUCAUUAGACGAACAAAACACCGUUCGGGCGGGACAGAGAGAGGUCGCUGCGCAUGCACGCGCCGUCAUCUUGGCCAUUGUAUGUGUACCUGUGGGUCUUAGGAAAACAGUUGGGAUGUGGCAGCACUAAUUUACGGCAGGACGCCACAAAUGUGGCCCGAGACAGAUGGAAAGAGGGAGUGAGAGAAGAAAGGGGGGGCUAACUCGUAAAUAAUGAGGAGAUAUUGGGAGUAAUCUGUUGGUCCUUUCUUUAAGACCCUUUAAAUCAUUUCCUGGAGUAGAUAGGUUAGCAACACGAGAGAUUUAGAGGUUGAACAGAAAGACAGUUAAAGGAAAACAGUUUUGAUUUUAACUGCAGGCUAACAGGAGCAUGAGAAAGGAGAGCUGAGAAGGUGCGAUCCAAUUUGAUCGGGGAGAUUGGAAAUUCACAGCACCAUAUUCUAAGUCGCAUUUUUGAGCAAGCAUGACACAGGUAAUGCAGUUUGAGAGAUAAAGACAUAGAUCAGGGCUAGAUGUGGAACGCAGACCUCUGAGUUAAUUUUGAAUAAUGUUACUGAAGACAUAAUGUACUGUCCCAUUAAAUUGGAACUAUAGACAAAACGUAGCUCGACAAUAGGAUGAGUUGCAGAUAUAAAGACGAGAUCGCUGUUACUAGGAGAAUUUGACAUUUGGUAAGCAAACGUUACUAGUGAAUGGAUGGCAGCAGCUACAUUUGGAGAUAGUCUUACAAGUUUGAUGUCCCAGUCUGUCACUCUCAGUGCCAGGAUCCCUGAAACUCGAUCCCGAGACUCCGCCUGCAGCCGUGGACGACUACAAAACGGUGCCUGGCUUUGAGGCACUUUUGACCUUUCUCAAGGACAAAGAAAGACUGUUGUGCUUGGAGGGGGCAAGUACACUCCGGAGGAAAGACGACAUCCUCCGGGACAAGAAAAGACAGUGAGAAGCGGAGGAACUCACAAUGUUGAAAAUGGACUCAUUUGAACAAUGGACUAAUUCGAGAGUGAUGGAUGGGUUGGCUCUGAAGCAACAACAAAAGAAUACCAACUUGGGAGUGUGAGGUUCUGCAAAAGAAGUGUCCGACGGCCAAAUCGCACUCCUUGCUGUGGGGUUGCUAAACUUGGUGGAGCUUGGGUCAAAGUGGACAGGAGCUUCAUUGUGCACUGAGUUUGACAGAACUGAGGAGAUUUGUUAAAAAAUUGAAUCAUGCGUAGAGCUACAGAGAGAAGCAUCAUGGUCAGAGAUUGGACAGAUUUGGAUAAAACAAAUAGACUAAAACAGUGAGAAACAAGAGCGAGAUCUGAUAUUUUGGCUCGUCAGGCAUAAGAUGUAGAAAUUGAGUUAGAUGCAUUUUAGAAUAGGACAUUUGGACUAAAGUGGAUUCAGUCAAGAGGAAGCUAGGACGCUCAAUGUCUAACCCUGUCCCUAACCCUACUCAAGACGAUAGAGGUUUGUUGCACCAUAGUGGAGGUUGGGUGGUCAGAAAGUUGGAUACUUAAAUUUUUGACUUUCACACAAUCAUGCAUAGGAGUCGCAAAAGGCCACAGGUAACAAGAUAAUGAUUGAGAUAGGGCUCAAUUUCAACUGCACCGACAUGGCAAAGUAGAAGCAAGAGAGCUGAGUAAGGGAUUAUAUGCUAAACAGUCCGCUAUAGAGUUACCAAUAGGAGAUUCUAUCAAAAGAAGUACUAAGAGGUGGAGGUGAAGAUAACAGGAGGACGUAGAUAUUCGGAGGUUUGAUAAGGGCAAACUCCAUUGUCGAAGAAAGGAUUAGAGCAAGUAGGAACGGGGGUAUUUUGGCAUUUUAACAGGGAUUGACAGCAAGGGAGAUUGAGGAUAAAAGAUCUGGACAGCAAUGACGUAAAUUACAUUAAAAACUGCUCAAUCGAGGGAGAGGGCUUGGCGCUCCCUGUGUGGAGGUGCAGCUUUGCAGAAGGGGGUCAGACCGCGCGAGUGAGUGAAUGAAAGGAGUGGAAAUAGGCGACGACUUAAGGAAGCAGGGAGAGGUGCUGGAUGGUGUGACAGGCAGGAUUUUUAGGAAGAAAAAAAAAAAGGGGGGAGUGAGACUCGCCAAGAGGGGCAAUAAAGAGAAGCAGACUGAGAAACAUAUUUGAGCAAGACAACAGGAAAAAGGGGGAGAGCCGAAUGAUGACGUAAAAAGCCAGAGGGAAUAGUCUGACCCAUCUUUAUUGAAUUUAAUUAGGAUGAGUAAUAGAGAUCGAGUUUGUAGGAGCAAUAUGAGGGUAUGGAGGCUCCCUCAAAACGCGCGUCCCACAGUUAGUCCCUCAGAUGGACAUAUAUGACAAUUUGCGAUGAAUCUGAUGGGCGAGUUUAUGGAAAAUUUAAUUGGAGAUUUUACAAUAGGUCAUGUUGACGAGUAUGUCAGAAUGUGAAGAGUUACUAUUAGGAGUCAAUGUUUGCCUGCACACUAACAUACUAACUUUGCUUGGUUUGGAGGGAGAGUUGAGUGAUAGAGACGGAUGAGUGUGUCUGUGAGUGUGUGGAUGGGCGAAUGCGCGUGUGAUCGUCUAUGACGGUGUGUGCGCAGUAUGAUUGGCCAGAGAGGUCUGAAGUUGGGGCGAUGUGUUUGCAAUUGAGGAUAAAAUCCCUCUCACCUGAAGGGGUGGUACAGAUCGGAGGGACUGGAACUGGUAAGUGAUGAGUUCUGACCGGAACCAUGGUUCAAUGAUCAAUCAGGGGCACCAUCGACAACAAAACGGUUCGAUGGAGAAGGCCCAUUUAUGUGACAUGGUCAGACAAGACAGAACUAGUAGCGAACAUUAAGACUUUGGACGAUUUGACGUGUGACGACUUUGAGCUCACCCAACGGGGUGACGGACUAGGGGGACGGUGACCAAAUGUUUGACGCUUGAGCUUGCUUGCGACAUGAGCGAGCUCUGCUUUGUUUUUCUGUGUGACUUGAUUUCUUUGCAGCAGCAACGGCCACCAGCCAAGGAGCGGAUUGCGCGUUGCUUGCGUAACUUGUUUUCGGUCUUGCAGGUUGUCGAUUGCGUUCGUGGAAAGUUUGUGUUGAAUUUACAAGAAUAUGUUAACCCUUGCCCUUUUGGUUUUUAUGAUGAACUUAUCGAUGACAUGGUUUUCAGGACAUGAUCCGCGGGCGCCAGGAUUCAUUUUAUUUCAUUUUGAUACUUGAUGUCUGUUUUUGUGUGUACAAAUGUCCGCUGUCAGCAGGGCUAUAAGCUCACUGACAGGAGUGCGAUGAUUUUUGUUUGUGUUGCCGAGUGUGUGGUGGACAGUCAAGUUUCAGGGACUUGGGGUGACGGUUCCGGGGCCCAGAUGGGAGCUAGAGGUUCCGCAUAGGCCUGGCUACAAUGAGUGUGGUGAUGAGGGGGGACACCUUGCAGGUUCCUUUUGAUACGUAAUGACACAUUGGGUGAAUGUGUAAAAAGGGGGAGUGAUAAAACAGAAAUGGGUGAGUUGGUUGCAAUUUGUAAUUGUGAUAUACAAAGUUUUUUUUCCAAAUUCACUUGUUUUUAAGCUUUAACAGGACACGCCAGAAUUCAACUAGCAGUGAUGGAAGGAGCAGAAGAAGCAUCUUGAAAGAAAGGGAGUUAACGGGAAACAGCAACCUGGAAGGGAUGCGAAGCGUGGUAACAAUUUAGUGACAAUAAGGUUUAAGGUUUUUCAAUGUCAAAGCACGAAGGACAAAUCAUACAGUGAUUAGGGAAUGGACAGUGGCACGAUACACAACAAAAGUUUGAAAGGUCGUUGAAUGUCGGAGGAAGACGGGGCCAGAAACAAGGAAUGGGGACAUUUCUGAACGCGUGACUGCAUUAGAGCUGCUAUUACAGGGCAAAUGUUUAAUUACCGUUUUUUUCCAUGUGUAAUGCGCAAAAUUUAACUAAUUUAUUGUCCUAAAAUCUGGGGUGCGCAUUGUACAUGGGUACAAUUUUUUAUUUAAAAAAAUAAAUAAAUUAUUUUUUAUUUUUUUUGUAAGAGAAUCAUGGUACAACAAUUUUUGAAGAAAAUCUUGUCACGGAUGGAGUGUGGAAAGGUACAGGGCGACCAAGUGCAGCUUGGACCAGGGUUCAUUGGAGGAACUCAAAACACAGACUUGGUAAACUAACAUAACUCUCUAACAAAACCAACAACAGGACUGAUCGACAAAGACGUGGAACAAAAAGACAGCGUGACAUUACCAAAGACAGGAACAGAAACCUGUGUUAUUGUCAAAUAUUGUUUGUUUUUUAAUCUCCAUCGCGGACUGGACGUCAUACGGAGGCAGUAUCACUGCGCAUGCACGCUAUGGAUCCGAUGCGAAUAGUCCUCUUCUUGACUGACAAUCAAUGUGAUAGUUUAAUACAAUCAGCAAAUAACAAAAUGCGUAUUACAGGUAAUAUUUUAUUUCACAACACUUUGCCUUGUUCCUUUUCUCUCUGCUGUUCACUUCAAACACGCUCCAUACGAACGCAAUCCUCUCGUAUCAGACGCUUGCUCGAUCACCUGCUCGUUUGCUGUCACAAUGUACCCUACACAAAUCUGAAACAUUUGUUGCGGCUCCGAGGGGCAAGUUUUGGUUUCCAAGGGUGUUUCUAUUCCUCUUCAACUUCUCUCCCAUACAGAGCCGCCUUUUUCACAUGUCCGCACAUCACUUUCCUCUUUUCAUUUUAAACGAACUGAUCGCGGCGGUGCCUUUACGGGCAGUCGGAGAAAUCAACGCCAACACAAAAAAAUACAUCCACCCUGGUUAAGACCAUACCAAAUACUAUAAAAAUGGGACCCAUUGCCUCCCUGCUUGGCACUCAGCAUUAAGGGUUGGAAUUGGGGGUUAGAAGGAGUGGAGCUCUUUACAAGCCCUAGGCCUCGUCUCCCUCCUUGCACAGUUAUUGAUAUAAUAAUAUGUGCUAAACAAUAAACUAACUAACUAAAGAAACACGGACUUCAGCAGAUCCGCCGCGCUGUGCUUUGUGGAAACGUGGCUUAGUGAACGAACCCCCCACCACGCCGUCGAGCUAGCCGGGUUCAGGCUAACGCGAGCAGAUCGCAGCGCGGAGCUCUCCGGAAAAUCAAAGGGAGGUGGUCUCUGUUUCUACAUUAAUGAACGUUGGUGUACUGAUGUCACGGUGUUGAAAGAGUUUUGCAGCCCUCUCCUAGAAACACUUUUCAUAAACUGCCGGCCGUUCUAUUCACCACGGGAGUUCUCCUCGAUCGUCAUGGCGGCUGUUUACAUCCCACCACACGCACGUGCGAGUGAAGCCACGCAGAUGCUGGCUGACCAGGUAACAGACAUGGAGAAACUUCUACUAAACUCACUAAUCAUUGUUCUGGGUGAUCUUAACAGGGCGAACCUCGCACACGAACUCCCCAGAUACAGACAGCACGUAACGUAUCCCACCACAGGGGCACAGACUCUGGACCACUGCUACACCGUGAUCAAGGAUGCAUACCACUCUGCGGCUCGUGCAGCUUUAGGACUCUCAGACCACUGUCUAGUUCAUCUGAUCCCGGCCUACAGGCAGAAACUAAAAACUUCUAAGCCUGUGGUGAGGACUGUGAGGAAGUGGACAGUGGAGUCAAGGCAGGACCUCCAAGCCUGCUUUGACUGCACCGAUUGGGGAGCUUUCGAAGCUGCAACUUCAGACUUACAUGAACUCACUGACACUGUCACAUCAUACAGCAGUUUUUGUGAGGAUCUGUGUGUGCAGACUAAGACCUUCUGCACGUACAACGACAAACCUUGGUUUACACCAAACCUCAGGAGGCUGCGCAAAGUCAAGGAGGAGGCCUACAGGAGCGGCGACCGCGACCUGUUCAGGCAGACCAGAAACACACUGAACCGAGAGGUCAAGAAACCCAGGAGGUGUUACGGGGAGAACCUGAAGAGACACCUCUCUGACAAUCCUGAUCCCUCAACGGUGUGGAAAGGUCUGCAGAGCAUCACGGGCUACAAGAAACGAACCCCCCGUCCUGUGGAGAGCCCAAGGCUUGCUAACCAGCUAAACAAGUUCUACUGCAGGUUUGAUCGGUCCUCCCACACAACGGGACUUCCUGCAGCACAAUCUACAUACUCACCUCUCCCCGCAACUGCUCUGUCCACACCUCUAUCAUCGUUGUCACCCACUCUCUCUCUUGCAGAGGCCGCGACCGCACUCCAGGUACGCGAGGAGGAAGUGCGCCAGAUGUUCCGGAGACAAAAGACCAGGAAGGCACCGGGCCCAGACGGCGUGUCACCUUCCUGCUUGAAAGUCUGCGCUGAGCAGCUGGUGCCCACCUUUGCACGGAUCUUCAACCGUUCUCUGGAGCUGUGUAAGGUGCCCUUGUGCUUCAAGAGCUCCACCAUCGUUCCAGUGGCCAAGAAGCCCGCCAUCACAGUUUGCCUACCGGUCAGUGGAUGAUGCGGUCAACAUGGGACUGCACUACAUCCUGCACCACCUGGACUCCCCAGGAACGUACGCCAUGAUCCUGUUCGUGGACUUCAGCUCGGCGUUCAACACCAUCGCUCCUGACAUCCUCCAACAGAAGCUCAUCCAGCUUGCGGUGCCUGCCUCCACCUGUCAGUGGAUCACCAGCUUCCUGACCAACAGGAGACAGCGUGUGACUCUUCUGUGAAGCUCCUGAAGUAUGCAGACGACACCACUCUCAUCGGACUGAUCCAGGACGGUGACGAGACUGCGUACAGACAGGAGGUGGAGCGGCUGGUCCAUUGGUGCAACCAAAACCAUCUGGAGCUGAACCCGCUCAAGACCGUGGAGAUGACAGUGGAUUUCAGGCGAGACCCUUCACCCCUUUUACCCCUCACUAUCCGCAGUAAUACUAUUCUCUCCACAGACACCUUCAAGAUCCUAGGAACCACAAUCUCUCGGGACCUGAAAUGGACCGGCCACAUAGACUCUGUCCGGAAGAAGGCCCAGCAGAGGCUGUACUUCCUGAGACAGCUCAAGAAGUUCAACCUGCCGCGAGAGCUUCUGAAGACCGAACAUCUCAACGACCACAUUGGGUGUGAUCUCAACGUCCCAGCACGACCCCGGGAAUUGUGCCUCCGGUGGCUUGGUGGUGCACGUCUCUUGUCGCACACAGUGUUCAAUCGUACCUGUGUUUUCGCCUCAAUCACACAGCUAAAAUUUCCAUCCUCCAUCGGAUCUGUUGCCACAAUAAAGUCCACGUUUUAUGGGACUUUCUAUUAUUAUUCUCUCGUGACAGCCGAUCAGUAAUGUCUAAGACAUCCUGUCUUGUUUUACGUGCCCUCUCUCGGGGCAUUUUCUUUCUCAUUCAUCAUUCACACCAGACAUGUCACUCAUACCGUUGUGCACAUUCCCCACUAAGUCUUAUGCUAUUUUUUCCAUUUUUAUUUGCCUUUUUUUCCUUUUUUCUAUUUUUAUUGGACAUUCUCAUUUUUUUAUUGGGGCUACUCCCCCUUCCAAAAUCCACAUCUCGGCCCAUUAACUUUCCCGCUUA